AUUGAACGCUGGCGGCAGGCCUAACACAUGCAAGUCGAGCGGAUGAAGGGAGCUUGCUCCUGGAUUCAGCGGCGGACGGGUGAGUAAUGCCUAGGAAUCUGCCUGGUAGUGGGGGAUAACGUCCGGGAACGGGCGCUAAUACCGCAUACGUCCUGAGGGAGAAAGUGGGGGAUCUUCGGACCUCACGCUAUCAGAUGAGCCUAGGUCGGAUUAGCUAGUUGGUGGGGUAAAGGCCUACCAAGGCGACGAUCCGUAACUGGUCUGAGAGGAUGAUCAGUCACACUGGAACUGAGGCACGGUCCAGACUCCUACGGGAGGCAGCAGUGGGGAAUAUUGGACAAUGGGCGAAAGCCUGAUCCAGCCAUGCCGCGUGUGUGAAGAAGGUCUUCGGAUUGUAAAGCACUUUAAGUUGGGAGGAAGGGCAGUAAGUUAAUACCUUGCUGUUUUGACGUUACCAACAGAAUAAGCACCGGCUAACUUCGUG
Molecule: ribosomal RNA, 484 nt
Filed under: uncultured bacterium
Lineage: Bacteria
Description: partial 16S ribosomal RNA
Rfam family: Bacterial small subunit ribosomal RNA
Source: RNAcentral